Alosa sapidissima (American shad) is the source of this 98-nucleotide long non-coding RNA. RefSeq lists it as uncharacterized. NCBI's taxonomy places the organism in Eukaryota, Metazoa, Chordata, Actinopteri, Clupeiformes, Clupeidae. The transcript is spliced from 2 exons. The record is from RefSeq and is a predicted model, not a curated record.
GCAGUUUUGACCAUGUCAGCCAGAGAUAUUGUGGCACUAUACAGGAAAUGAAUGGUUAUGGGAUGGUUUGACAUGGCCCUUUAAGACCAACAUACAAA